RNAcentral lists this ribosomal RNA (587 nucleotides) under uncultured bacterium. RNAcentral describes it as "bacterial SSU rRNA". It matches the Rfam family "Bacterial small subunit ribosomal RNA", at positions 337 to 916 of the family's 1533-position model. The record is from RNAcentral.
UCCUACGGGAGGCAGCAGUGGGGAAUAUUGGACAAUGGGGGCAACCCUGAUCCAGCCAUGCCACGUGUGUGAAGAAGGCCCUCGGGUUGUAAAGCAUUUUCAGCGAGGAAGAACGCCUAGCGGUUAAUACCCGCUAGGAAAGACAUCACUCGCAGAAGAAGCACCGGCUAACUCCGUGCCAGCAGCCGCGGUAAUACGGAGGGUGCAAGCGUUAAUCGGAAUUACUGGGCGUAAAGCGCGCGUAGGUGGCUUGAUAAGCCGGUUGUGAAAGCCCCGGGCUCAACCUGGGAACGGCAUCCGGAACUGCCAAGCUAGAGUGCAGGAGAGGAAGGUAGAAUUCCCGGUGUAGCGGUGAAAUGCGUAGAGAUCGGGAGGAAUACCAGUGGCGAAGGCGGCCUUCUGGACUGACACUGACACUGAGGUGCGAAAGCGUGGGUAGCAAACAGGAUUAGAUACCCUGGUAGUCCACGCCGUAAACGAUGUCGACCAGCCGUUGGGUGCCUAGCGCACUUUGUGGCGAAGUUAACGCGAUAAGUCGACCGCCUGGGGAGUACGGCCGCAAGGUUAAAACUCAAAUGAAUUGACGG